RNAcentral lists this ribosomal RNA (465 nucleotides) under uncultured bacterium. RNAcentral's name for it is "partial 16S ribosomal RNA". It matches the Rfam family "Bacterial small subunit ribosomal RNA", at positions 28 to 507 of the family's 1533-position model. The record is from RNAcentral.
GACGAACGCUGGCGGCGUGCUUAACACAUGCAAGUCGUACGGUAAGGCCCUUUCGGGGGUACACGAGUGGCGAACGGGUGAGUAACACGUGAGUAACCUGCCCACAACUUUGGGAAAACGCUAGGAAACUGGUGCUAAUACUGGAUAUGUGCUCCUGCUGCCUGGUGGGGGUUGGAAAGCUCCGGCGGUUGUGGAUGGACUCGCGGCCUAUCAGCUUGUUGGUGGGGUAGUGGCCUACCAAGGCGGCGACGGGUAGCCGGCCUGAGAGGGUGACCGGCCACAAUGGGACUGAGAUACGGCCCAGACUCCUACGGGAGGCAGCAGUGGGGAAUAUUGCACAAUGGGCGCAAGCCUGAUGCAGCAACGCCGCGUGCGGGAUGACGGCCUUCGGGUUGUAAACCGCUUUCAGCAGGGACGAAGCUUUUUGUGACGGUACCUGCAGAAGAAGCACCGGCUAACUACGUG